UAAAAGCCUACCAAGCCUAAGAUCCUUAGCUGUUCUGAGAGGUUGAACAGCCACACUGGGACUGAGACAAGGCCCAGGCUCCAUUUGGAGCCAGCAGUGAGGAAUUUUGGACAAUGAGCGAAAGCUUGAUCCAGCAAUACUACAUGAGUGAAGAAGGCUUUCAAGUUGUAACACUCUUUGGUUGAGGAGGAUAAUGACAGUACUCAACAAAAUAGCCCCGGCUAACUUCGUGCCAGCAGCCGCGGUAAGACGAAGGGGGCGAGCGUUAUCCGGAAUGACUGGGCGUAAAGGGUCCGUAGGCAGCAUUUUUUGUUGGAAGUUAAAUAAAAAAGCUUAACUUUUUUCCGCUUCUAAAACGUAAAUGCUUUGAGUUUGAUAGAAGAUAGCAGAAUUUCACAAGGAGGGGUGAUAUCCAGAGAUCUGUGAAGGAAUAUCAGAUGCGAAGGCGGCUAUCUAGAUCAACACUGACGUUGAGGGACGAAAGCAUGGGGAGCAAACAGGAUUAGAUACCCUGGUAGUCCAUGCCCUAAAAGAUGAGUGUUCGUGCUUAGAGAACUUUAGGCACUUAGUUAACACGUUAAACACUCCGCCUGGGGAGUACGAUCGCAAGGUUGGAACUCAAAGGAAUUGACGGGGGCCUAUACAAGUGGUGGAGCAUGUGGUUUAAUGCGAUGAUACGCGCGAAACCUUACCAGUUCUUGACAUAAAAAAGAAAAAGUUUGAAAAAGCAAUUUUAAAGAUUUUUACAGGUGCUGCAUGGCUGUCGUAAGCUCGUGUCGUGAGAUGUUAGGUUAACUCCUUUUAACGGGCGAAACCCCUUUUUUUCGUUGCUACUUAAUUUUAUUUUUAAAGCACUCUAAAAAAACUGCUCCCUUUUUUUAAUUCGGAGAGGAAGGUGGGGAUGACGUCAAGUCCUUAUGGCCCUUAUGAACUGGGCUACACACGUGCUACAAUGGUAAAGACAAUAAGAAGUGAUAGGGUAACCUAAAACCAAUCUUUAAACUUUAUCAAAGUUCGGAUUGUGGACUGCAACUCGUCCAUAUGAAGGUGGAAUCACUAGUAAUCGCACAUCAGCAUGUUGCGGUGAAUUUGUACCUAGGCCUUGUACACACCGCCCGUCACGUGCCGGGAGUUGGC
Molecule: ribosomal RNA, 1137 nt
Filed under: uncultured organism
Description: partial 16S ribosomal RNA
Rfam family: Bacterial small subunit ribosomal RNA
Source: RNAcentral